GGGUUGUGAGGUUAAGCGACUAAGCGUACACGGUGGAUGCCCUGGCAGUCAGAGGCGAUGAAGGGCGUGCUAAUCUGCGAUAAGCGCCGGUAAGGUGAUAUGAACCGUUAUAACCGGCGAUACCCGAAUGGGGAAACCCAGUGUGACUCGUCACACUAUCAUUAACUGAAUCCAUAGGUUAAUGAGGCGAACCGGGGGAACUGAAACAUCUAAGUACCCCGAGGAAAAGAAAUCAACCGAGAUUCCCCCAGUAGCGGCGAGCGAACGGGGAGGAGCCCAGAGCCUGAAUCAGCAUGUGUGUUAGUGGAAGCGUCUGGAAAGGCGCGCGAUACAGGGUGACAGCCCCGUACACAAAAGCGCAUGUGCUGUGAGCUCGAUGAGUAGGGCGGGACACGUGGUAUCCUGUCUGAAUAUGGGGGGACCAUCCUCCAAGGCUAAAUACUCCUGACUGACCGAUAGUGAACCAGUACCGUGAGGGAAAGGCGAAAAGAACCCCGGCGAGGGGAGUGAAAAAGAACCUGAAACCGUGUACGUACAAGCAGUGGGAGCCCCACCACUAAGCCAGUGGUGAACUCCACAUACGCAUCCUUUGCUGAGGAUACGGUUAACGGAGCGAAAGCGACGUUCAACCGCAAAAGAAGCAGAGGGGGCUUAGUGGUGGGGUGACUGCGUACCUUUUGUAUAAUGGGUCAGCGACUUAUAUUCUGUAGCAAGGUUAACCGAAUAGGGGAGCCGGAGGGAAACCGAGUCUUAAUUGGGCGUUAAGUUGCAGGGUAUAGACCCGAAACCCGGUGAUCUAGCCAUGGGCAGGUUGAAGGUUGGGUAACACUAACUGGAGGACCGAACCGACUAAUGUUGAAAAAUUAGCGGAUGACCUGUGGCUGGGGGUGAAAGGCCAAUCAAACCGGGAGAUAGCUGGUUCUCCCCGAAAGCUAUUUAGGUAGCGCCUCGUGAAUUCAUCUCCGGGGGUAGAGCACUGUUUCGGCUAGGGGGCCAUCCCGGCUUACCAACCCGAUGCAAACUGCGAAUACCGGAGAAUGUUAUCACGGGAGACACACGGCGGGUGCUAACGUCCGUCGUGAAGAGGGAAACAACCCAGACCGCCAGCUAAGGUCCCAAAGUCAUGGUUAAGUGGGAAACGAUGUGGGAAGGCCCAGACAGCCAGGAUGUUGGCUUAGAAGCAGCCAUCAUUUAAAGAAAGCGUAAUAGCUCACUGGUCGAGUCGGCCUGCGCGGAAGAUGUAACGGGGCUAAACCAUGCACCGAAGCUGCGGCAGCGACACUCAGGUGUUGUUGGGUAGGGGAGCGUUCUGUAAGCCUGUGAAGGUGUGUCGUGAGGCAUGCUGGAGGUAUCAGAAGUGCGAAUGCUGACAUAAGUAACGAUAAAGCGGGUGAAAAGCCCGCUCGCCGGAAGACCAAGGGUUCCUGUCCAACGUUAAUCGGGGCAGGGUGAGUCGACCCCUAAGGCGAGGCCGAAAGGCGUAGUCGAUGGGAAACGGGUUAAUAUUCCCGUACUUGGUGUUACUGCGAAGGGGGGACGGAGAAGGCUAUGUUGGCCGGGCGACGGUUGUCCCGGUUUAAGCGUGUAGGUGUGUGUUCCAGGUAAAUCCGGUUCACUUUAACACUGAGGCGUGACGACGAGGCACUACGGUGCUGAAGCAACAAAUGCCCUGCUUCCAGGAAAAGCCUCUAAGCAUCAGGUAACAUCAAAUCGUACCCCAAACCGACACAGGUGGUCAGGUAGAGAAUACCAAGGCGCUUGAGAGAACUCGGGUGAAGGAACUAGGCAAAAUGGUGCCGUAACUUCGGGAGAAGGCACGCUGACACGUAGGUGAAGUGAUUUACUCAUGGAGCUGAAGUCAGUCGAAGAUACCAGCUGGCUGCAACUGUUUAUUAAAAACACAGCACUGUGCAAACACGAAAGUGGACGUAUACGGUGUGACGCCUGCCCGGUGCCGGAAGGUUAAUUGAUGGGGUCAGCGCAAGCGAAGCUCCUGAUCGAAGCCCCGGUAAACGGCGGCCGUAACUAUAACGGUCCUAAGGUAGCGAAAUUCCUUGUCGGGUAAGUUCCGACCUGCACGAAUGGCGUAAUGAUGGCCAGGCUGUCUCCACCCGAGACUCAGUGAAAUUGAACUCGCUGUGAAGAUGCAGUGUACCCGCGGCAAGACGGAAAGACCCCGUGAACCUUUACUAUAGCUUGACACUGAACAUUGAGCCUUGAUGUGUAGGAUAGGUGGGAGGCUUUGAAGUGUGGACGCCAGUCUGCAUGGAGCCGACCUUGAAAUACCACCCUUUAAUGUUUGAUGUUCUAACGUGGACCCGUAAUCCGGGUUGCGGACAGUGUCUGGUGGGUAGUUUGACUGGGGCGGUCUCCUCCUAAAGAGUAACGGAGGAGCACGAAGGUUGGCUAAUCCUGGUCGGACAUCAGGAGGUUAGUGCAAUGGCAUAAGCCAGCUUGACUGCGAGCGUGACGGCGCGAGCAGGUGCGAAAGCAGGUCAUAGUGAUCCGGUGGUUCUGAAUGGAAGGGCCAUCGCUCAACGGAUAAAAGGUACUCCGGGGAUAACAGGCUGAUACCGCCCAAGAGUUCAUAUCGACGGCGGUGUUUGGCACCUCGAUGUCGGCUCAUCACAUCCUGGGGCUGAAGUAGGUCCCAAGGGUAUGGCUGUUCGCCAUUUAAAGUGGUACGCGAGCUGGGUUUAGAACGUCGUGAGACAGUUCGGUCCCUAUCUGCCGUGGGCGCUGGAGAACUGAGGGGGGCUGCUCCUAGUACGAGAGGACCGGAGUGGACGCAUCACUGGUGUUCGGGUUGUCAUGCCAAUGGCACUGCCCGGUAGCUAAAUGCGGAAGAGAUAAGUGCUGAAAGCAUCUAAGCACGAAACUUGCCCCGAGAUGAGUUCUCCCUGAGACUUAGAGUCUCCUGAAGGAACGUUGAAGACGACGACGUUGAUAGGCCGGGUGUGUAAGCGCAGCGAUGCGUUGAGCUAACCGGUACUAAUGAACCGUGAGGCUUAACCUUACAACGCCGAAG
RNAcentral lists this ribosomal RNA (3028 nucleotides) under Salmonella enterica subsp. enterica serovar Anatum. RNAcentral describes it as "23S ribosomal RNA". It matches the Rfam family "Bacterial large subunit ribosomal RNA". Lineage: Bacteria; Pseudomonadati; Pseudomonadota; Gammaproteobacteria; Enterobacterales; Enterobacteriaceae. The record is from RNAcentral.